This is a non-coding RNA of Monodelphis domestica (gray short-tailed opossum), 1247 nucleotides long. NCBI's taxonomy places the organism in Eukaryota, Metazoa, Chordata, Mammalia, Didelphimorphia, Didelphidae. The record is from RefSeq and is a predicted model, not a curated record.
ACUAAGCAGCUGGAAUGAACCCAAACUUCAGUUCUUGGGGAGUCUUCUAGGUUGUCAACCAGCGUUUCCAUGUCUACACUUGUUAUUCUGUUGGCCACAAAAGAUUCUAGACUAGUCACCAUAGCAACAGUUGCCUCACUAGGUGUCUGUGAUAUGCUGGAGAUCAAAAAGAUUUCCUUACAUUAAAAAAAGAAAGGGAGGAAAAAAGACCCCAGACUUAGCAGGUUGUACUGAUGUGUUUGCUCUCUUCCUAAUGUUUUGAACUUUCUUUUGGUGGUGGGUAGGAAUAAAUGGAUGCUAUUAUCACCAAUAUGAUUCUAGUUUCUAGCUGUUACAUUUUUAAGCUUCCAUUUUUAAAUUCCAGGCAUUUCAACCCACGUCCUAAUAUUCUUUGAGAAGCCCAUUCAUCAAAAGAAAAGACAACAAGAAAGAGGAGAUAAGGGGACUUGGGGACUGUGAUACAAAGGAGAGUAUGCUUACUAGAUGAUGUGUUUUUCAAAAGUCUGUGCCACCAUUUGGCUGAAAAGAUAAUGGCCUAACCAACGGGCAAUCAUAUUUUAUUGACUCCCUCCCUCACCCCCAUCCUUUCUAUAAAUCCUAGCUGCUGAAGUGUUAGUCCUAUAGCAGGCAAAAUGAAACAUUUUCCCUUGCCUGGAUAUUGUUUUCAUUCCCACCUGCCUUAAAUUUUAGUCUGCAGAAACAGUGGUCCUAACACCCAUGGUUCCCAGCUGGGGUAGCAUUAUGCAGUCAGAUUCUGUAGCAAUACAACUGUACAGAUCUGAGAAUGCUCAUUGUAGGGUCUCUUGUCUAUGGCUGGAGGUCAGUUCUACUACUCAUGGCCAACAAUAAGGGACAAUUCUUUGUUACUGAUAUUCCAUAGAAGCGAACGUAGGCCCCGGAGAGAAGAUGGAUCUCCCACCCCAACACCCAGGAUGGUGCUUAUGUAAAUGAGUCUACUGGAAUCCUUGGCUCCUAAUGCUAAAAACUCCUGCCUUGAGAAAUGUUCAUCAUUAAUGCUAAAUGGUUGGUAACUGGUGAAAGGGCAAUGGAGAGGCCACAUUCUAUGAAAAUCAGCAGGGGAAUUCAAUGGCUUUCCGGGAUGGAUUCCAGUCAAUGGGAUGGUGAUGAAGGGGUGUCCUUGAAAUAUCAGGAGAAAGAAUUUGAUGUCAAUCCUACAGAGGUCAUCACAAACAUUUAAUGAGUCAUUCUAACAAGAAUACCAUUAAUAAAGCUUUAAUUGCUGCAAA